UCGAGAAUAGUCUACAAUGGUCGAAAGACUGAUAGUGCGACGCCGCGUGAACGAAGAAGCCCUUCGGGGUGUAAAGUUCUUUUAUAUGUGAGCAAUGCCUUUUAUGUGAAUAGCAUGAGAGGAGCGAUAUUAGCAUAUGAAUAAGGAACGGCUAACUCCGUGCCAGCAGCCGCGGUAAUACGGAGGUUCCAAGCGUUGUUCGGAAUUACUGGGCGUAAAGGGAGCGCAGGUGGGCGGUCCAGUCCACAGUGGAAGCCCGGGGCUUAACCCCGGAAGUGCUUUGGAUACUAUCCGUCGUUAGUACGCGAGAGGAAGGCGGAAUUCAGGGUGUAGCGGUGAAAUGCUUAGAUAUGACACAGAACACCGAUUGCGAAGGCAGCUCACUAAACUGUAACUGACGCUGAGGCACGAAAGCGUGGGGAGCAAACA
Molecule: ribosomal RNA, 429 nt
Filed under: uncultured prokaryote
Description: bacterial SSU rRNA
Rfam family: Bacterial small subunit ribosomal RNA
Source: RNAcentral